CCUACGGGUGGCUGCAGCAAGGAAUCUUCCGCAAUGGGCGACAGCCUGACGGAGCAACGCCGCGUGCGGGAUGACGCCCUUCGGGGUGUAAACCGCUUUUCUUCGGGAAGAACGUGGGGCAACCCACCUGACGGUACCGGAGGAAGAAGGACCGGCUAACUACGUGCCAGCAGCCGCGGUAAUACGUAGGGUCCGAGCGUUGUCCGGAGUUACUGGGCGUAAAGCGCGCGCAGGCGGCGGUGUUGGCUCGGCGUGAAAGCCCCCGGCUCAACCGG
RNAcentral lists this ribosomal RNA (275 nucleotides) under uncultured bacterium. RNAcentral's name for it is "partial 16S ribosomal RNA". It matches the Rfam family "Bacterial small subunit ribosomal RNA", at positions 338 to 616 of the family's 1533-position model. The record is from RNAcentral.